CCUACGGGGGGCAGCAGUGAGGAAUAUUGGUCAAUGGACGAGAGUCUGAACCAGCCAAGUAGCGUGAAGGAUGACUGCCCUAUGGGUUGUAAACUUCUUUUAUAAAGGAAUAAAACGAGGCACGUGUGCCUUUUUGCAUGUACUUUAUGAAUAAGGAUCGGCUAACUCCGUGCCAGCAGCCGCGGUAAUACGGAGGAUCCGAGCGUUAUCCGGAUUUAUUGGGUUUAAAGGGAGCGUAGAUGGGUUGUUAAGUCAGUUGUGAAAGGUUGCGGCUCAACCGUAAAAUUGCAAUUGAGACUGGCAGUCUUGAGUACAGUUGAGGUAGGCGGAAUGCGUGGUGUAGCGGUGAAAUGCUUAGAUAUCACGAAGAACCCCGAUUGCGAAGGCAGCUUACUAACCUGUGACUGACAUUGAUGCUCGAAAGUGUGGGUAUCAAACAGGAUUAGAUACCCGAGUAGUC
Molecule: ribosomal RNA, 460 nt
Filed under: uncultured bacterium
Lineage: Bacteria
Description: partial 16S ribosomal RNA
Rfam family: Bacterial small subunit ribosomal RNA
Source: RNAcentral